This 304-nucleotide long non-coding RNA is filed under the name Hordeum vulgare. RNAcentral describes it as "long non-coding RNA (HVUL_LNC004307)". The record is from RNAcentral. Lineage: Eukaryota; Viridiplantae; Streptophyta; Magnoliopsida; Poales; Poaceae.
GGUUAAUUAUUUAUUAGUAAUACAAAAUGAUGCAAUUUUCUGUAUUUAGGAAAUUCCCUCGAAAUUAGUUAAAUUCGUAGUGUUGGAAAAAAAAAAGCUCUCGGCCGAAUGUGGAGAAAUCGGGCUACACAAGGCACGCGCACAAUAUUUUAUAACACCCACGGUGAAAGAUUGGGCUACGGGGGCGCUCGCCACUUGGCCAUGAGGCUCGUCGAGUUGCGAUGGUUGGGCAUCGAGGCGAGGCGUCAACGCGCGGGGUAGGCCGGCACUGCUGGGCCGGGUGAAGCCGAGGCCCACGAGGCUG